Long non-coding RNA from Orcinus orca (killer whale), 2637 nucleotides. RefSeq lists it as uncharacterized. Lineage: Eukaryota; Metazoa; Chordata; Mammalia; Artiodactyla; Delphinidae. The record is from RefSeq and is a predicted model, not a curated record. The transcript has 2 exons.
GGAAGUACCUCUGCCCUGGGCUUUCAUUGGCUCAACUCCGCCACCAUUGGGCGCAUUGCCCUCUGGGUAGUGUAGUUCCCACAGCUGCGCAGGAGGACAUUCCCGGAGUCCACCUUGGCCAAGAAACGUUCUGCGCAGCACGGAGAAAUAUAACCAUUAUUUUGUAAUAACUUUAAAUGAAGUACACGCUAUAAAAAUAUUGAAUCAGAGACCCCUGGCGGUCUAGUAGUUAAGACUCCGCGCUUCCACUGCAGGUAGACAUUAACUGCUCUGGGACAUCCAAGGAAUGGGGAAACGAUCACGGAAAUAAAUCCAACAAUAACAGCAGCAGCAGCUGAGUCUCCAUGAACCUCAAUGUGCACCUGCCCCGGGCUGAAGGCUUCAAGUGCCAUGAUAAAGGGACUGUCCCCAGUUCGGCAGCUAGACUCCCAGGUUUGAAUCCAGCCUCUUGAAUCUGAUACUUUCUGUGGUGUGACCUUGGGGGACCCACUUCAUCUUUGUGAUCCUGGAUUUCUCCAGCAAUACAGUAAUAGCUCCCAAUACCCAGAGUGCUGUGAAAAUUAAAAAGAAAUUCUCAAAAUGCAAAUCCUGGAAUUCUGGUACCAGUACAGGCUGUAUUUUGUUGCUUUGACUGACCGUCACAGAGGCUACGGUGAACAUCUUCAUCACCUCCCUGUCACAGUCAGUGAAGUAAAUCUUGGGGACCUCUAGAGUGGCCCACAGAUUCCCUGGGAUUCCACAAUGAGACCUCAGUAACCUGAAGACACGUUUUCCAGUGGACCAGAGUGUUCUAGGAAGCCCCAUUUGUUUCUCACAAGCACCUGGGAACAGAAGGGCCCAGAGGUAUAUGGCUUGGGGAUAUCACCUGCAGGUGUGGCUGGUGGUGUAGCCACUGCAUACAGAACGGGCACCUCAGCUCCUCCAAAGGCCUGGGCACAGGGCUGCUCUUUAUCCCCAUUUUACACAGGAGACAACCCAGAUAGUGGAUUGUUUUGCCUGUUGUCUCAGUGAUGGCUGGUGACGAGAUUUAAACCCACAUUGUAUGGGCCACGUUUGGGGAGUCUGAUCACUGACCUAUUCUUUGGCUUCCAGAAGGGCUUCAGAAUGUCUGUCCUAAUACCACCUGGUCCACCUUUUUUUUUUUUUUUUUUGUCUGCAUUGAGUCUUUGUUGCUGCGCACAGGCUUUCUCUAGUUGCAGCAGGCAGGGGCUACUCUUCGUUGUGGGCGCAGGCUUCUCAUUGCAGUGGCUUCUCUUGUUGCAGAGCACGGGCUCUAGCGUGCAGGCUCAGUAGUUGUGGCAUGCGGGCUUAGUUGCUCUGGGGCAUAUGAGAUCUUCCCGGGCCAGGGCUUGAACCUAUGUCCCCUGCAUUGGCAGGCGGAUUCUUAACCACUGUGCCACCAGGGAAGUCCCACACCUGGUCCACCUUAAAGUCCUGCUCCAACCCACCAAUCCCCAAGAUAGACCAGGAAAAUGGGUGAAAACUACAAAGCAGGGCUUUAUUAUAUUAUUAAAUGUCUAACUUAGGAAAGUGAUGAAGUGUGUUAAUAAUGCAGAUAAAUCUAUAAUGCAAAUUAAUUGUGUAUGAUAAAUAUGAACAUUACAUUGUGUAUAGCAUACAAAUUUGCAAAAUUUAAUUUAUUUUAUUUAUUUGGCUGCGUCGGGUCUUAGUUGUGGCAUGUGGUAUUUUAGUUACGGCAUGCAGGAUCUUUCAUUGCAGUGCGUGGGCUUCUCUCUAGUUGUGGUGCGCAAGCUCUAGAGCACGCAGGCUUAAUUGCCCCAGUGCAUGUGGGAUCUUAGUUCCCCAACCAGGGAUCGAACCCAUGUCCCCUGCAUUGGAAGGCAGAUUCUUAACCACUGGACCACCAGGAAAGUCCCCAAAUUUGCAAAAAUUAAGAAAUAUUUUUCCGGAAUUGAAAACAAUUAUUCCAUAAAGCAAAAGAAUCACUUAUGUUAUUCAAGGAGUAAAACGGGUAAAAUUCCAAUAUAUCUUUGUUAUUUCACUGUCCUAUUUGUGAAAAGGAAAUAGCCCUAACUCAUAAAGGAAAACAGCCUAAAUGAUAUGAGCACACACUUUACCAAAGACAUACAGAUAGCAUAUACACAUCCGAAAAAAUGCUCAUCAUGAAUCCUUAAGGAAAUCCAAUUAAACCAACACUGAGAUAGCAUGACAAACUUAUUAAAAGGGCUAAAAUUGGGGACUUCCCUGGUGGCAGAGUGGAUAAGACUGCAUUCCCAAUGCAGGGGGCCCGGGUUCGAUCCCUAGUCAGGGAACUAGAUCCCACAUGCAUGCCACAACUAAGAGUUCACAUGCCACAACUAAGGCGCCUACCUGGCACAACUAAGACCUGGCACAACCAAAUAAAUAAAUAAAUAUUUUUUAAAAAGGAGGGCUGGGCUUCCCUGGUGGCGCAGUGGUUGAGAGUCUGCCUGCCGAUACAGGGGACGUGGGUUCAUGCCCUGGUCCGGGAGGAUCCCACAUGCCGCGGAGCGGCUGGGCCCGUGAAUCAUGGCUGCUGAGCCUGCGCAUCCGGAGCCUGUGCUCCACAAUGGGAGAGACCAGAACAGUGAGAGGCCCGCGUACCGCAAAAAAAAAAAAUAAUAAUAAUAAAUAAAUAAAUAAAAAUAAAUUUUAAAA